Molecule: ribosomal RNA, 240 nt
Filed under: uncultured bacterium
Lineage: Bacteria
Description: partial 16S ribosomal RNA
Rfam family: Bacterial small subunit ribosomal RNA
Source: RNAcentral
AAACGUAGGAGGCAAGCGUUAUUCGGAUUUACUGGGCGUAAAGGGUGUGCAGGCGGUUCGGAAAGUUGGAUGUGAAAGCUCCUGGCUUAACUGGGAGAGGUCGUUCAAAACUUCCGGACUAGAGGAUGAGAGAGGAAAGCGGAAUUCCGAGUGUAGUGGUGAAAUCCGUAGAUAUAAGGAGGAACACCAAUGGCGUAGGCAGGUUACUGGGCCAUUUCUGACGCUAAGGCACGAAAGCGU